RNAcentral lists this ribosomal RNA (460 nucleotides) under uncultured bacterium. Its description in RNAcentral is "partial 16S ribosomal RNA". It matches the Rfam family "Bacterial small subunit ribosomal RNA", at positions 338 to 795 of the family's 1533-position model. The record is from RNAcentral.
CCUACGGGAGGCAGCAGUGAGGAAUAUUGGUCAAUGGACGAGAGUCUGAACCAGCCAAGUAGCGUGAAGGAUGACUGCCCUAUGGGUUGUAAACUUCUUUUAUAAAGGAAUAAAACGAGGCACGUGUGCCUUUUUGCAUGUACUUUAUGAAUAAGCCUCGGCUAACUACGUGCCAGCAGCCGCGGUAAUACGUAGGAGGCAAGCGUUAUCCGGAAUGACUGGGCGUAAAGGGUGCGUAGGUGGUUUGACAAGUUGGUAGCGUAACUCCGGAGCACAACUUCGGAACUACUACCAAAACUGUUGGACUCGAGUGCAGGAGGGGCAACUGGAAUUUGUAGUGUAGCGGUGGAAUGCGUAGAUAUUAGGAAGAACACCGGUGGCGAAGGCGAGUUGCUGGACUGUAACUGACACUGAGGCACGAAAGCGUGGGGAGCAAACAGGAUUAGAUACCCGAGUAGUC